This 260-nucleotide ribosomal RNA is filed under the name uncultured bacterium. RNAcentral's name for it is "partial 16S ribosomal RNA". It matches the Rfam family "Bacterial small subunit ribosomal RNA", at positions 98 to 354 of the family's 1533-position model. The record is from RNAcentral.
CGGCACGGGUGAGUAACACGUAUGGAACCUGUCCUAUGCAGGGGGAUAAGCGGAAGAAAUUCCGUCUAAUACCGCAUAACACCUUUAGGAGACAUCUUCUUGGGGUCAAAGGAGGCGACUCCGGCAUAGGAUGGCCAUGCGUCGCAUUAGCUAGUCGGCGGGGUAACGGCCCACCGAGGCGACGAUGCGUAGGGGUUCUGAGAGGAAGGUCCCCCACACUGGUACUGAGACACGGACCAGACUCCUACGGGAGGCAGCAG